RNAcentral lists this ribosomal RNA (696 nucleotides) under Staphylococcus sp. Its description in RNAcentral is "bacterial SSU rRNA". It matches the Rfam family "Bacterial small subunit ribosomal RNA", at positions 283 to 980 of the family's 1533-position model. The record is from RNAcentral. Lineage: Bacteria; Bacillati; Bacillota; Bacilli; Caryophanales; Staphylococcaceae.
GUACCCAACCUGAGAGGGUGAUCGGCCACACUGGAACUGAAACACGGUCCAAACUCCUACGGGAGGCAGCAGUAGGGAAUCUUCCGCAAUGGGCGAAAGCCUGACGGAGCAACGCCGCGUGAGUGAUGAAGGGUUUCGGCUCGUAAAACUCUGUUAUUAGGGAAAAACAAACGUGUAAGUAACUGUGCACGUCUUGACGGUACCUAAUCAAAAAGCCACGGCUAACUACGUGCCAGCAGCCGCGGUAAUACGUAGGUGGCAAGCGUUAUCCGGAAUUAUUGGGCGUAAAGCGCGCGUAGGCGGUUUCUUAAGUCUGAUGUGAAAGCCCACGGCUCACCCGUGGAGGGUCAUUGAAAACUGGGAGACUUGAGUGCAGAAGAGGAAAGUGGAAUUCCAUGUGUAGCGGUGAAAUGCGCAGAGAUAUGGAGGAACACCAGUGGCGAAGGCGACUUUCUGGUCUGUAACUGACGCUGAUGUGCGAAAGCGUGGGGAUCAAACAGGAUUAGAUACCCUGGUAGUCCACGCCGUAACGAUGAGUGCUAAGUGUUAGGGGGUUUCCGCCCCUUAGUGCUGCAGCUAACGCAUUAAGCACUCCGCCUGGGGAGUACGACCGCAGGGUUGAAACUCAAGGAAUUGACGGGGACCCGCACAGCGGUGAGCAUGUGUUUAUUCGAAGCACGCGAGACUUACAAAUCU